Molecule: ribosomal RNA, 481 nt
Filed under: uncultured bacterium
Lineage: Bacteria
Description: partial 16S ribosomal RNA
Rfam family: Bacterial small subunit ribosomal RNA
Source: RNAcentral
GACGAACGCUGGCGGCGUGCUUAACACAUGCAAGUCGAACGGGAUCCGGGCUUUCGGGUUUGGUGAGAGUGGCGAACGGGUGAGUAACACGUGAGUAACCUGCCCCCCUCUUUGGGAUAACGUCGGGAAAUCGGCGCUAAUACUGGAUAUUCUUGCUGCAUCGCAUGGUGGGGUUUGGAAAGGGUUUCGGGUGGGGGAUGCGCUGGCGGCCUAUCAGCUUGUUGGUGGGGGGAUGGCCUACCAAGGCUUUGACGGGUAGCCGGCCUGAGAGGGUGUCCGGCCACACUGGGACUGAGACACGGCCCCGACUCCUACGGGAGGCAGCAGUGGUGAAUAUAGCACAAUGGGCGCAAGCCUGAUGCAGCGACGCCGCGUGAGGGAUGACGGCCUUCGGGUUGUAAACCUCUUUCAGUAUGGAACAAGGAUCCUUCUUUUGGGGGGUUUGAGGGUACGUGCAGAAGAAGCGCCGGCUAACUACGUG